AAGGCUAUGUGUAACUGGCGAAAGCGGAUAACCGUAGGGGAGCACAUAGUAUCGAAAAGCCGUUCGCCUGGGCAGAGGUA
RNAcentral lists this non-coding RNA (80 nucleotides) under Evansella cellulosilytica. RNAcentral describes it as "Bacillus cellulosilyticus ZTP sequence". It matches the Rfam family "ZMP/ZTP riboswitch aptamer (pfl RNA motif)". From Rfam's summary of the family: Previously known as pfl RNA. The record is from RNAcentral. RNAcentral also lists the same sequence under 1 other name. Lineage: Bacteria; Bacillati; Bacillota; Bacilli; Caryophanales; Bacillaceae.